This 390-nucleotide unclassified non-coding RNA is filed under the name soil metagenome. RNAcentral describes it as "partial contains 5.8S ribosomal RNA, internal transcribed spacer 2, and large subunit ribosomal RNA". The stretch from base 1 to 122 matches the Rfam family "5.8S ribosomal RNA", at positions 35 to 154 of the family's 154-position model. The record is from RNAcentral.
GAUGAAGAACGUAGCGAAAUGCGAUACUUGGUGUGAAUUGCAGAAUCCCGCGAAUCAUCGAGUUUUUGAACGCAAGUUGCGCCCGAAGCCAUUCGGCCGAGGGCACGUCUGCCUGGGUGUCACGCAUCGUUGCCCCCCCAAACUCCGGUUUGGGCGGGGCGGAAGUUGGCCUCCCGUGCGUGCCUGCGCGCGCGGUUAGCCCAAAAGCGAGUCCUCGGCGACGAGCGCCACGACAAUCGGUGGUUUUUUUACCCUCGUUCCUCGUCGUGCGUGUCCCGUCGCCCGAACGCGCUCUUGUGACCCUCACGCGUCGCCUCAGUGGCGCUCCCAACGCGACCCCAGGUCAGGCGGGACUACCCGCUGAGUUUAAGCAUAUCAAUAAGCGGAGGA